This is a long non-coding RNA of Gasterosteus aculeatus aculeatus (three-spined stickleback), 1031 nucleotides long. The record is from Ensembl. Lineage: Eukaryota; Metazoa; Chordata; Actinopteri; Perciformes; Gasterosteidae.
CACCACUGUACAGUUUUCUAGUGAAAGUCGUUCACUGCUUUACAUAAAGCAUAUCAGCUGUUUCAAAGUCCCAACCAAUUGUCUUCCUAAAAUACUGGUCCUUCCGUAUAACAAUAACCUCGUAUGUGAUUGGAGGACCCUCAGACUCCUCGUCCAAUCACGUGUGAGGUCAUAGGCAUGACUCAGACAGCAGUACUUGCAAGACGAGCAUACAAACAGACAUAUUCAGAAGAACUGUAUCUCCAGUUCCUUUGUUUGGUUUUUGCUGCUUCGUAAAUAAUGGCGGGACGACGUCUCGCCUUCAACUCGCCUUCAACUCCUCUCCGCGGUCACCAACUUUCGGCCAGUCCGCAGACAGACGAGAAGAAGCUGCUGAAAGCUCUCAGUGGAUCGUCUCGUCAACUCCAACAACAAACUGCUGAUAUCAGCGAGCGGUUCGCUCCACUGGAGCGUUCGGGACUCUGCGGGUUUCUGUCCAUGGAGGAGAGGAACCGACUCAAAGAAGAGGAGACGGGAGCACGAUCCCAAGAUAGGGGAAGCGAUGCGCCGUCUUCACAACGCCGAGACGAAUUACAGGCGCUACGAACCGGAGCAAGGACUAAUCUCGCCUCAUAAUGAGGCGGUGACCUCGUAUUUGCUCCGGGAAAAGUCCAGAUUUAGACGACGUCAUUGUGUCCGCCUGUAAGACGGAUUGUGAGACGAUAUGCAGGAGCUUCAGGUUCAGCCGGAACACUCAUUGCGGGCGGAAGCUGCGAAGGAUUCAGCGCGGAGUCGAGCGAGAAGAAAGAGGCUGCUGGAAUCGAGACAAAGUGUGCUGGCUGAUGACGAGGUGGAACUCUGGAAAUCCACCACCGUGGAGCUCACGUCGGAUGGAGGGGACGGCGUUGUUGGCGGGGUCUCGGGUGGAUCGUACGGUCGCCACACACACACGAGCCGCAUGCACAACAGACCUGCAUUGGAAAACUCGCCGCCAGUGACGGUCUACGACCCCGAGGAGGCAAAAGUUUACUGAGCUGUAGUUUUUAAACCGC